RNAcentral lists this ribosomal RNA (497 nucleotides) under uncultured bacterium. RNAcentral's name for it is "partial 16S ribosomal RNA". It matches the Rfam family "Bacterial small subunit ribosomal RNA", at positions 28 to 507 of the family's 1533-position model. The record is from RNAcentral.
GAUGAACGCUGGCGGCGUGCCUAAUACAUGCCAGUCGAGCGAACGGACGAGAAGCUUGCUUCUCUGAUGUUAGCGGCGGACGGGUGAGUAACACGUGGAUAACCUACCUAUAAGACUGGGAUAACUUCGGGAAACCGGAGCUAAUACCGGAUAAUAUUUUGAACCGCAUGGUUCAAAAGUGAAAGACGGUCUUGCUGUCACUUAUAGAUGGAUCCGUGCUGCAUUAGCUAGUUGGUAAGGUAACGGCUUACCAAGGCAACGAUGCAUAGCCGACCUGAGAGGGUGAUCGGCCACACUGGAACUGAGACACGGUCCAGACUCCUACGGGAGGCAGCAGUAGGGAAUCUUCCGCAAUGGGCGAAAGCCUGACGGAGCAACGCCGCGUGAGUGAUGAAGGUCUUCGGAUCGUAAAACUCUGUUAUUAGGGAAGAACAUAUGUGUAAGUAACUGUGCACAUCUUGACGGUACCUAAUCAGAAAGCCACGGCUAACUACGUG